CGUGGAGCGUGGCGGGGUACAGUAUGGAGCUAGAGUUGUGCUAGCAAUUUACGCUUAAUCUAUCAUCUGUUUAAUUUUAUUGUCAUUUGAUAAAUUGAUUUGCUUGUUUGUUUUGAGUAAAUUCUUUUGUCCGAAAACAUCUAGGAAAUUUCACAGAUUCAAGAGAGCGUGCAAGGUAAAAUAUCUCUACGCAUUCUGUCUGGAAAGUAGGUAUUUUUUAUUGUGGAAAUAGACUAGGUACAGCGUCCCUUAAUUUGAACUUUUGUAGUAUAUCGCUCUUGCUAUACGUGCCAUAUAGGAUCACCAGUCAUCCACCAUCGCUCCCAGUCAGGUAGAGAGUGCUUUAUAAAAUCAAUUACCUUCCCCGGAUUAGCAGACUAAAUUUCACGGGAAUGUAAGCAACCCUUGUUGAGGAAUUUGAUUCUGCUCGUGUACAAUGCACCACAGCUGCAUAGCAGAAAUUUCGUUCAACAACUGUGUUGCAACUACAGUUAGGUUUAAUAAUAAAAAUCAUUUGAGUAUUGAUGUUGGGUAGAUUGUUUUACAAAAUGUCUCGUGUCGUAAA
Long non-coding RNA from Wyeomyia smithii (pitcher-plant mosquito), 565 nucleotides. RefSeq lists it as uncharacterized. The transcript has 3 exons. The record is from RefSeq and is a predicted model, not a curated record. Lineage: Eukaryota; Metazoa; Arthropoda; Insecta; Diptera; Culicidae.